RNAcentral lists this ribosomal RNA (332 nucleotides) under uncultured eukaryote. Its description in RNAcentral is "partial 18S ribosomal RNA". It matches the Rfam family "Eukaryotic small subunit ribosomal RNA", at positions 1470 to 1796 of the family's 1831-position model. The record is from RNAcentral.
CCCUUAGAUGUUCUGGGCCGCACGCGCGCUACACUGACGGAGCCAACGAGUAUUUUCCUUGUCCGGAAGGACUGGGUAAUCUUGUGAAACUUUGUCGUGCUGGGGAUAGAGCAUUGUAAUUAUUGCUCUUCAACGAGGAAUUCCUAGUAAGCGUGAGUCAUCAGCUCGCGUUGAUUACGUCCCUGCCCUUUGUACACACCGCCCGUCGCUACUACCGAUUGAACGGUUUAGUGAGGGCCUCGGAUUGGUCUCGGCCCGCUCUUUACCGGGCGGCGCCGUUGGUCGAGAAGACGCUCGAACUUGAUCGUUUAGAGGAAGUAAAAGUCGUAACA